RNAcentral lists this ribosomal RNA (595 nucleotides) under uncultured Bacteroidota bacterium. RNAcentral's name for it is "bacterial SSU rRNA". It matches the Rfam family "Bacterial small subunit ribosomal RNA", at positions 122 to 715 of the family's 1533-position model. Lineage: Bacteria; Pseudomonadati; Bacteroidota. The record is from RNAcentral.
CAACCUGCCCUUCACCACGGAAUAAUCCAGUGAAAAUUGGUCUAAUACCGUAUGAGGUCAUACGAUGGCNUCAGAAUAUGACGAAAGGUUUGGCGGUGAAGGAUGGGGAUGCGUCUGAUUAGCUUGUUGGUGAGGUAACGGCUCACCAAGGCGACGAUCAGUAGGGGUUCUGAGAGGAAGGUCCCCCACAUUGGAACUGAGACACGGUCCAAACUCCUACGGGAGGCAGCAGUGAGGAAUAUUGGUCAAUGGGCGAGAGCCUGAACCAGCCAAGUAGCGUGCAGGAUGACGGCCCUAUGGGUUGUAAACUGCUUUUAUAUGGGGAUAAAGUGAGCUACGUGUAGUUUAUUGCAGGUACCAUAUGAAUAAGGACCGGCUAAUUCCGUGCCAGCAGCCACGGUAAUACGGAAGGUCCAGGCGUUAUCCGGAUUUAUUGGGUUUAAAGGGAGCGUANGCCGCCCCUUAAGCGUGUUGUGAAAUGCCGCGGCUCAACCGUGGCACUGCGGCGCGAACUGGGGGGCUUGAGUGCACGCAACGCANGCGGAAUUCGUGGUGUAGCGGUGAAAUGCUUAGAUAUCACGAANAACUCCGAUUG